GUCCUGUGGCGCAAUGGGUAGCGCACUGGACUUCUAAUCCAAUCUUCGUGGAUUCGAAUCCCACCUGGGAUG
This is a non-coding RNA of Trichonephila inaurata madagascariensis, 72 nucleotides long. Lineage: Eukaryota; Metazoa; Arthropoda; Arachnida; Araneae; Nephilidae. The record is from the annotation of a GenBank genome assembly.